This 492-nucleotide ribosomal RNA is filed under the name uncultured bacterium. RNAcentral's name for it is "partial 16S ribosomal RNA". It matches the Rfam family "Bacterial small subunit ribosomal RNA", at positions 29 to 507 of the family's 1533-position model. The record is from RNAcentral.
AGUGAACGCUGGCGGUAGGCCUAACACAUGCAAGUCGAACGGCAGCACAGUAAGAGCUUGCUCUUACGGGUGGCGAGUGGCGGACGGGUGAGGAAUACAUCGGAAUCUACUUUUUCGUGGGGGAUAACGUAGGGAAACUUACGCUAAUACCGCAUACGACCUACGGGUGAAAGCAGGGGAUCUUCGGACCUUGCGCGAUUGAAUGAGCCGAUGUCGGAUUAGCUAGUUGGCGGGGUAAAGGCCCACCAAGGCGACGAUCCGUAGCUGGUCUGAGAGGAUGAUCAGCCACACGAGAACGGGGACACGGUCCAGACGCCUGCGGGAGGCAGCAGUGGGGAAUAUUGGACAAUGGGCGCAAGCCUGAUCCAGCCAUACCGCGUGGGUGAAGAAGGCCUUCGGGUUGUAAAGCCCUUUUGUUGGGAAAGAAAAGCAGCAGGUUAAUACCCCGCUGUUCUGACGGUACCCAAAGAAUAAGCACCGGCUAACUUCGUG